CAGUCGCCGCGGGAAUACAGAGGGUGCGAGCGUUAAUCGGAUUUACUGGGCGUAAAGCGUGCGUAGGCGGCUUUUUAAGUCGGAUGUGAAAUCCCUGAGCUUAACUUAGGAAUUGCAUUCGAUACUGGGAAGCUAGAGUAUGGGAGAGGAUGGUAGAAUUCCAGGUGUAGCGGUGAAAUGCGUAUAGAUCUGGAGGAAUACCGAUGGCGAAGGCAGCCAUCUGGCCUAAUACUGACGCUGAGGUACGAAAGCAUGGGGAGCAAACAGGAUUAGAUACCCCCGUAGUCCCUGUCUCUUAUAC
This 301-nucleotide ribosomal RNA is filed under the name uncultured bacterium. Its description in RNAcentral is "partial 16S ribosomal RNA". It matches the Rfam family "Bacterial small subunit ribosomal RNA", at positions 509 to 807 of the family's 1533-position model. The record is from RNAcentral.